This 419-nucleotide ribosomal RNA is filed under the name uncultured ammonia-oxidizing beta proteobacterium. RNAcentral's name for it is "bacterial SSU rRNA". It matches the Rfam family "Bacterial small subunit ribosomal RNA", at positions 197 to 597 of the family's 1533-position model. The record is from RNAcentral. Lineage: Bacteria; Pseudomonadati; Pseudomonadota; Betaproteobacteria.
UGGAGGAAAGUAGGGGAUCGUAAGACCUUGCGCUUUUGGAGCGGCCGAUGUCUGAUUAGCUAGUUGGUGGGGUAAUGGCCUACCAAAGCUUCGAUCAGUAGCUGGUCUGAGAGGACGGCCAGCCACACUGGGACUGAGACACGGCCCAGACUCCUACGGGAGGCAGCAGUGGGGAAUUUUGGACAAUGGGCGCAAGCCUGAUCCAGCCAUGCCGCGUGAGUGAAGAAGGCCUUCGGGUUGUAAAGCUCUUCCAGCCGGGAAGAAAAGGCUGCGACUAAUAAUCGCAGUUCAUGACGGUACCGGAAGAAGAAGCACCGGCUAACUACGUGCCAGCAGCCGCGGUAAUACGUAGGGUGCGAGCGUUAAUCGGAAUUACUGGGCGUAAAGGGUGCGCAGGCGGUUUUGUAAGUCAGAUGUGA